This 32-nucleotide ribosomal RNA is filed under the name Phlebia radiata. Its description in RNAcentral is "partial 28S ribosomal RNA". The record is from RNAcentral. Lineage: Eukaryota; Fungi; Basidiomycota; Agaricomycetes; Polyporales; Meruliaceae.
AUCUGACCUCAAAUCAGGUAGGACUACCCGCU